UACGAAGGCGGCAAGCGUUAUACGGAAUUAUUGGGCGUAAAGCGCGCGCAGGUGGUUUCUUAAGUCUGAUGUGAAAGCCCACGGCUCAACCGUGGAGGGUCAUUGGAAACUGGGAGACUUGAGUGCAGAAGAGGAAAGUGGAAUUCCAUGUGUAGCGGUGAAAUGCGUAGAGAUAUGGAGGAACACCAGUGGCGAAGGAGACUUUCUGGUCUGUAAAUGACACUGAGGCGCGAAAGCGUGGGGAGCAAACAGG
RNAcentral lists this ribosomal RNA (253 nucleotides) under uncultured bacterium. Its description in RNAcentral is "partial 16S ribosomal RNA". It matches the Rfam family "Bacterial small subunit ribosomal RNA", at positions 524 to 776 of the family's 1533-position model. The record is from RNAcentral.